RNAcentral lists this transfer RNA (71 nucleotides) under Camelus bactrianus (Bactrian camel). It matches the Rfam family "tRNA". Rfam says of the family: Transfer RNA (tRNA) molecules are approximately 80 nucleotides in length. Their secondary structure includes four short double-helical elements and three loops (D, anti-codon, and T loops). Further hydrogen bonds mediate the characteristic L-shaped molecular structure. tRNAs have two regions of fundamental functional importance: the anti-codon, which is responsible for specific mRNA codon recognition, and the 3' end, to which the tRNAs corresponding amino acid is attached (by aminoacyl-tRNA synthetases). tRNAs cope with the degeneracy of the genetic code in two manners: having more than one tRNA (with a specific anti-codon) for a particular amino acid; and 'wobble' base-pairing, i.e. permitting non-standard base-pairing at the 3rd anti-codon position. Lineage: Eukaryota; Metazoa; Chordata; Mammalia; Artiodactyla; Camelidae. The record is from Rfam by way of RNAcentral. RNAcentral also lists the same sequence under 2 other names.
GGGGUAUAACUCAGUGGUAGAGGGCAUGCUUGGCAUGCACGAGGUUCUGGGUUAAACCCCCAGCACCCGCA